UCCGAAGUGGUGUAGUGGUUAGCAUACGACGCUUUCACCGUCGCGACCGGGGUUCGAUUCCCCGUUUCGGAA
This 72-nucleotide transfer RNA is filed under the name Cladonia macilenta KoLRI003786. RNAcentral's name for it is "tRNA-Glu (TTC) (tRNA-Glu-TTC-1-1)". It matches the Rfam family "tRNA". From Rfam's summary of the family: Transfer RNA (tRNA) molecules are approximately 80 nucleotides in length. Lineage: Eukaryota; Fungi; Ascomycota; Lecanoromycetes; Lecanorales; Cladoniaceae. RNAcentral also lists the same sequence under 1 other name. The record is from RNAcentral.